AAAUUAUCAACCAUGACUUGGGUUUAGGCCCUUGUUCUUGGCUUGGAUUUGGGUGCUUGCGGUCUUGUGCUGCUCACCUUAAAAGGAUUAGCUGGACAUGUCUUUUGACUUGGUUCUACUUGGCGUAAUAAGUAUUUCGCUGAGGACAUCCCUUCUGGGGUGGCCAAGACUCUGGCAAACGUCUGCUUUCUAACUCGACUGUCCUCGGACAUCACUUUUUAUG
This 223-nucleotide unclassified non-coding RNA is filed under the name uncultured fungus. RNAcentral's name for it is "sequence contains ITS2". The record is from RNAcentral. Lineage: Eukaryota; Fungi.